RNAcentral lists this ribosomal RNA (433 nucleotides) under uncultured bacterium. Its description in RNAcentral is "partial 16S ribosomal RNA". It matches the Rfam family "Bacterial small subunit ribosomal RNA", at positions 29 to 507 of the family's 1533-position model. The record is from RNAcentral.
AACGAACGCUGGCGGCAUGCCCAACACAUGCAAGUCGAACGAGACCUUCGGGUCUAGUGGCGCACGGGUGCGUAACGCGUGGGAACCUGCCCUUAGGUUCGGAAUAACUCCCUGAAAGGGGUGCUAAUACCGGAUAAUGUCUUCGGACCAAAGAUUUAUCGCCUUUGGAUGGGCCCGCGUUGGAUUAGCUAGUUGGUAGGGUAAAAGCCUACCAAGGCGACGAUCCAUAGCUGGUCUGAGAGGAUGAUCAGCCACACUGGGACUGAGACACGGCCCAGACUCCUACGGGAGGCAGCAGUGGGGAAUAUUGGACAAUGGGCGAAAGCCUGAUCCAGCAAUGCCGCGUGAGUGAUGAAGGCCUUAGGGUUGUAAAGCUCUUUUACCCGGGAUGAUAAUGACAGUACCGGGAGAAUAAGCUCCGGCUAACUCCGUG